Molecule: ribosomal RNA, 492 nt
Filed under: uncultured bacterium
Lineage: Bacteria
Description: partial 16S ribosomal RNA
Rfam family: Bacterial small subunit ribosomal RNA
Source: RNAcentral
AGUGAACGCUGGCGGUAGGCCUAACACAUGCAAGUCGAACGGCAGCACAGUAAGAGCUUGCUCUUACGGGUGGCGAGUGGCGGACGGGUGAGGAAUACAUCGGAAUCUACUUUUUCGUGGGGGAUAACGUAGGGAAACUUACGCUAAUACCGCAUACGACCUACGGGUGAAAGCAGGGGAUCUUCGGACCUUGCGCGAUUGAAUGAGCCGAUGUCGGAUUAGCUAGUUGGCGGGGUAAAGGCCCACCAAGGCGACGAUCCGUAGCUGGUCUGAGCGGAUGAUCAGCCACACUGGAACUGAGACACGGUCCAGACUCCUAGGGGAGGCAGCAGUGGGGAAUAUUGGACAAUGGGCGAAAGCCUGAUCCAGCCAUACCGCGUGGGUGAAGAAGGCCUUCGGGUUGUAAAGACCUUUUGUUGGGAAAGAAAAGCAGCAGGUUAAUACCCCGCUGUUCUGACGGUACCCAAAGAAUAAGCACCGGCUAACUUCGUG